Molecule: long non-coding RNA, 1770 nt
Organism: Cygnus olor (mute swan)
Lineage: Eukaryota; Metazoa; Chordata; Aves; Anseriformes; Anatidae
Exons: 3
Source: RefSeq, a predicted model, not a curated record
GUUUUUUAAAUUGUCUCUUUAGUGCUACAAAUAUCAAAACAUUCUGUGAACUAACGAGGCAUGAAAUGGUUAUUAUGCAGGAGCUGCAGCAUGUGCCAGAUAUUCUGUGGUAGUGCAUGUGCUACCUUCAAUGCUAAAAACCUGCUAAAGUGUGUACUUCUCUACUCUGUCCUCACUGCAUGGGAGGCUAGAGUCUUGACUGGGUCCUGAUGUGCCUGGGUGCUGGCAUAAGGCCAGAGACUGUAUUGACAGUGGAGAUGAAGGCUAAACCAAUUGCUCCACUCGAGAGAUGUUGGAACCUCUGAUUUUGGAGAGAUUGCAAUCCAUUUUGAGUAGGUAUGCUGAAUUUGAUUGCUUAUUUACUUUGGAGUCUGGAGAUGCACUGUAGAGUAAAAGUAGUUUCAUAUUUUAUUUUACAUGAUUCUGGAAAUCAUCCUUCACAAAUACCAUCUUAAGAGUGGAUGGCAAAUGAAAUAAGACAGUUGGUAACUAAAAUCAUCAGUUUUACUGUUUUUACCACCAUAUUCUGAUGCUUGCAUGUUUUGUUCUUCUCACAAUGAAGCUAAAUGAAAACCUCUGAGAAAGAGUUCCUUCUAAUGUAGCAUAAUGAAGUCUUUAAAUGGGUACAGUUGUAGGUCAUCAUGAAUAGGAAUGCAGUGACCUUUGUCUUGACAAUGAAGCUGGCACAAGCUUCUCAAAGAGCUGUUCUUUUUUUUUUUUUUUUAUUUCUCCGCCAGAAAGGACACAAAUAAAACAGAGGAUCCCCCUUCUCCCAUCAGUGAACAAAAUCAAAAGAUUAGAAAAUGUAUUGUAAAUUGUUAGCUUGCAAAAUCUAGAAAUAACAUGGAGUUCUUUCUCUAAAUAUACAUAUUGUUACAGGAAUGAUGUGCAAGGAGGUGGGAAAGAAAGGAAAGUAGAGGGACUGUAUGCCUCAUAAAGAGCCUUCUGGUUUCUUAUACUGUGUAAUGUCCUGAUUUGAUUUUAGAUACACAACAAUGAGAUAUUCAAAAUUACCAGUAUGAUCUUAUAAUUCGGAGUCUAGAAAAAUAACAAAUCUUUGUCAUUCAUUUUCCGUUUAGUUUGGUGCAUAUCUGCAGGUUUGUAGUGCACUGCACUGAAAUAUUAGGAAGGCUCAAAUUUCUUGGUGGCAUAUAUAAAAAAGCAGAGUAUUUUGCAGAAGGCACAUAAAAGUUGUGGCUGUUUGCUGUUGGGGAGGCCCUGUUGCUCCACCCAACUUUUGUAGUCAUUUUUGAAUUGCAGUGCUCAGCAAUGUUCUUUAACCGUAGAGAAUCACCUGUCAUUCUUAAAUAAUGACACUACCUGCUCAUUUAGGAUUUUCUCAAGGUUCCAGCAAUGUCGAUCUGAAUUGUGCUGUCUCUUGUAAAGGCAAGGCUUGUUUGGGAGAACGAACUCUAAAGUGAGCAGUGAAGAUAAUGAAUGGAGAUGUUUUUGUAAAAGAGAAGUCUUAUCUAUAGAACUGCUUCUCUAUGACCAGAUGUUUAUUUAUUUACCCUUUAAAGGAGUAAAAAUUGGUUGUUUGACUCUUUCUUUUUUCAAGGACCUGGCUACGUGUUAAUGUGAAGAGCAGGUUGUUUCCUUGGUGAUCAUGGACGCUACUCCCACAAGGCCGUGGCCUGGGCAAGUAGCUGGAUUGGGUGCUUUGACGAUUGUGAGUGUGCCUCUUUAGCAGUAGGCUUUUUUCAGGGUGUAAAAAAAAAAAAAAAAAAAAGUUAAGUUUAGAAUGUGCAUGUUAUUUCAGAGCUAUGUGAA